This is a transfer RNA of Cavia porcellus (domestic guinea pig), 71 nucleotides long. It matches the Rfam family "tRNA". From Rfam's summary of the family: Transfer RNA (tRNA) molecules are approximately 80 nucleotides in length. Lineage: Eukaryota; Metazoa; Chordata; Mammalia; Rodentia; Caviidae. The record is from Rfam.
AGGAAUUUAGCUCAGUGGCAUAAGCACCUGCCUUGCAAGCAGGCGGUCGUGAGUAUGAUCCCCAGUACCUA